Molecule: ribosomal RNA, 403 nt
Filed under: uncultured bacterium
Lineage: Bacteria
Description: partial 16S ribosomal RNA
Rfam family: Bacterial small subunit ribosomal RNA
Source: RNAcentral
AUUGAACGCUGGCGGCAGGCCUAACACAUGCAAGUCGAGCGAGCGGCGGACGGGUGAGUAAUGUAUGGGGACUGCCCGAUAGAGGGGGAUAACUACUGGAAACGGUGGCUAAUACCGCAUACUGUAGGAUUACCCCUAUGUGAUUAGCUAGUAGGUAAGGUAACGGCUUACCUAGGCGACGAUCCCUAGCUGGUCUGAGAGGAUGAGCAGCCACACUGGAACUGAGACACGGCCCAGACUCCUACGGAGGCAGCAGUGGGGAAUAUUGCACAAUGGGCGCAAGCCUGAUGCAGCCAUGCCGCGUGUAUGAAGAAGGCCCUAGGGUUGUAAAGUACUUUCAGUCGGGAGGCGUUACCAACAGAAGAAGCACCGGCUAACUCCGUGCCAGCAGCCGCGGUAAUUC